GCUAUUGCAUAUUAGCAGACUAUAUUUGGAAUGAGAGAGUUACUAAAUGUGAGACUAUUGGAUUGCACAUUAAAUUUAAUGGAAUGGGUGUAUAUGUUUUCUUAAUUAAAGCCUAACCUGGAAACCAUCUGUUUAUGGGGAUUAGCUCCUUUGUCCCAGUGGCCUUCUACCUAGUGCUGAGUUAACUAUAAAUCUUGGUAAAUAGUUUUCUCUGUAUAAUUUGUUUUUAAUGAUCUUUUGAAAGUGACCUUUAUGGACAAGUUUUAUUUAAGUAAAUAACCUACAAUUCUGUCUCUUGGCUCUCUUUGCUCUCCUCCUCUGUUUGAACACUAGAAGUUCGAAAAGAAGUUGCCAGGAAGUGACCUUACUCAAGGACAUCCAGGUGCCCAAGACCAAGAUAAUUUACAGAAUGGAAUCAGUCCUAAAUGAACAGCAGUGGGUUUUCUGAAUUUUCACUUAAAAAUGCAUCUGACUCGGCCUGCAACCUCAUCAACUGUUGUUUGAUUGUUUACUCUUAAUCUGAAAACUGCC
Molecule: long non-coding RNA, 531 nt
Filed under: Chelonoidis abingdonii (Abingdon island giant tortoise)
Lineage: Eukaryota; Metazoa; Chordata; Testudines; Testudinidae
Description: lncRNA (ENSCABG00000008570.1)
Source: RNAcentral